ACGGAAACCAACACUUACGCACAGCACU
Molecule: small RNA, 28 nt
Filed under: Bombyx mori (domestic silkworm)
Lineage: Eukaryota; Metazoa; Arthropoda; Insecta; Lepidoptera; Bombycidae
Description: ovarian small RNA-11540
Source: RNAcentral